GCCAGGUGUGGUGGCGCACACCUGUAGUCCCAGCUACUUGGGAGGCUGAGGCAGAAGAAUCGCUUGAACCCAGGAGGCAGAGGUUGCAGUGAGCCGAGAUCAUGCCAUUGCACUCCAGCCUGGAUGACAGAGCGAGAUUCCGUCUCAA
This is an unclassified non-coding RNA of Papio anubis (olive baboon), 148 nucleotides long. It matches the Rfam family "Metazoan signal recognition particle RNA". Rfam says of the family: The signal recognition particle (SRP) is a universally conserved ribonucleoprotein. It is involved in the co-translational targeting of proteins to membranes. Lineage: Eukaryota; Metazoa; Chordata; Mammalia; Primates; Cercopithecidae. The record is from Ensembl.